This is a non-coding RNA of Phrynosoma platyrhinos (Desert horned lizard), 72 nucleotides long. The record is from the annotation of a GenBank genome assembly. NCBI's taxonomy places the organism in Eukaryota, Metazoa, Chordata, Lepidosauria, Squamata, Phrynosomatidae.
GCCAGUGUGAUGUAGUUGCUUAAGUGUUGGACUAUGACUCUGGAGACCAGGGUUCGAAUCCCUGCUCAGCCA